CUCCUGGACUCUUUCUUAAUAAAAGAAGAAAAUAAAAGUCUGCUGAUUGCAGGUGUGGUGUGUGCUACAUAUGGGAGAUAAUUGAAAGGACAUAUCAGUGUCUGGGCAAUAGGAUGGAGCUGGGUUACGGACAGUAUAAAGAAAAGUAAUGAAGUAAUCAGCAUUCCAGAAAUCUUACGGUGAACUCUGGAGGAAAGCAUGCAAGCAAAUUGGGUACCCUUAGGCUGAAUAGAGAGAGCUGUAUCUGAGCCAUGGUUCACCCGAUGUGUGCGUCAUGAAGACAGACACCAUGCGCAAAGGGUAUUCACAGGAUCGAUAACUGAGGACACACGUUGACUCUAAUGAAUAAAAAAGUUAGUUUGAGGGAGAAAAAAGAAGAAAGCAGAAGGAAAGAGAGAGAGAAGGAAAAGGGAAGACUCCUCAGUUGCCAGCCUGGAAAAGAAAUGGUAGGGUUGCCAGGGAGCAUAAGUAGCAGUUGCUGACCUUUUUUUACAUUCUUCUUCACACUCUGCAAUUAUACAUUCUUUUACUGACCCCUUGGAAAACUCAACCCUCCCUGUUUAACAGGUAUUUUGGGGGGUGCAGCAGGGAGUAGACAUGAGCAAAAGCAGUCAUGGCAACAGUAUGUCACCAGUGUAUGUUAUACAACAUUCUCAGAAUUAUCUGAACUAUGCUAUUAAGAGGAACAGCUGAGUUUCUGUCUAACCUAAUAUGGUUUCUGCUACUUAUAUGGUUUGCAUAUACUAUUAUUAUUGUUAAACCUUCUCCUGCUUAUAAGCUACAUUGAAAUACUGCUUAACAAGGAGGGGGGCAGAGCUGGAAGACCAUUAGUGUUAGGACUGACUACUUAUCUAAAGAAGCAAGCUGAAUUUCUUGUUUUAUAUCAUGUCUUUUGCUCCAUUUGGCUGUGUAUUAGGAAAUGUUCAAAUCUCUUAUAUCAUAUUCUGAUGUUACUGAGAUGAAAGCAGAAAUGAUAUGAUCAAGUCAGAUACUAGUUGUUCAGUCUAGUGGACAUACA
This 1018-nucleotide long non-coding RNA is filed under the name Struthio camelus australis. RNAcentral's name for it is "lncRNA (ENSSCUG00000007292.1)". Lineage: Eukaryota; Metazoa; Chordata; Aves; Struthioniformes; Struthionidae. The record is from RNAcentral.